Molecule: ribosomal RNA, 253 nt
Filed under: uncultured bacterium
Lineage: Bacteria
Description: partial 16S ribosomal RNA
Rfam family: Bacterial small subunit ribosomal RNA
Source: RNAcentral
UACGGAGGGAGCUAGCGUUGUUCGGAAUUACUGGGCGUAAAGCGCGCGUAGGCGGCUUUGUAAGUUAGAGGUGAAAGCCCGGGGCUCAACCCCGGAACAGCCUUUAAGACUGCAUCGCUAGGAUCCGGGAGAGGUGAGUGGAAUUCCGAGUGUAGAGGUGAAAUUCGUAGAUAUUCGGAAGAACACCAGUGGCGAAGGCGGCUCACUGGACCGGCAUUGACGCUGAGGUGCGAAAGCGUGGGGAGCAAACAGG